This 426-nucleotide ribosomal RNA is filed under the name Triticum aestivum (bread wheat). RNAcentral describes it as "partial small subunit ribosomal RNA". The record is from RNAcentral. Lineage: Eukaryota; Viridiplantae; Streptophyta; Magnoliopsida; Poales; Poaceae.
CAGCAGCAGCAGAUCGACUCACUUAGCCAGGAAAGGGGGUCUCAGCAGCGGCAGCAGCAAGCGGAUGAUCAUCCAGCAUUGGAUAGCACCGUCCCAUCCAUGCCGAGAAGCAGCGUUGGUUCCGCCCCGGGCGACGCACUGCUGGAUACAUACCCUGUGGAUGACAUCAUAGAGAACACUAACUGUGAGCUACACUUCAAAAUGAAGAACAUAUCCAUGAAGGUGGCGAACGCCGUUGCUUUUACAAUUACCCCCGAAGCAACCUUCCAUUGCGCCCCGAUUCCAGCGGGCUAUGCUCGUGUCUUGGUUGAUGAGGUGGCGGGCCCAUAUUCGGGGCUAGAGCUUGACAUUCCUGGAGGUGACGACGAGCAAACACUGGGAGAGGCCAUACAUCGUUUCAUCCUAUGGAAAAAGGAUUGCAUCAUC